Rattus norvegicus (Norway rat) is the source of this 2857-nucleotide non-coding RNA. Lineage: Eukaryota; Metazoa; Chordata; Mammalia; Rodentia; Muridae. The record is from RefSeq and is a predicted model, not a curated record.
ACCUCUGAGUCACAAUAGAUGUCAGGUUCUUACCUCAUAGCAGAGAAUUCAAAAGAUAGUGGCCAGGUUGGUAUGAAAGACAGGGAGGCAGAUGUGCUGUUCUGGUGGUAAAAUCUUGAUUAUCGAGGGAUUGCCCCACCAACAGUCAUAAGAGACUACAUUUGGACUCCGUACUCUUUGUGGGGCUCAGAAACCAGAUAUUUUAGAGAGAGAUGUUGAAAUAUAGAAUUAAACACCAGACCUGACUAAUGGUUGGGGGGGAGGGGAGCUGGGAUGCAUGAGACGUGUGUGUCCUUGGAGACCAUAGCAACAUCUGGCAAUUAGCCAGCCAGAUACUUCGAGUCACUCACCCUCUUGUGGAACCAGUGACCACAGCCACUUUACCAGCUAGGGUACGAUUCUCAUCUGUUAAUUGGCUGAACUUUCUUGCUGAAAGAGGGACUGGUGCACAGAGAUAUCCCCUAAAGGCCCGUGGGAUAGACCUGAAUAUGGUAGCCAUUGAAGAAAGACCUGUGAAGAUAAUCAAUUAUGGACCAUGCUGGGACCUGCACUCUUUUGGAUCCUCCUCCAUGAAGUCUCUGACAGGUGUUCCACCAUCCUCCAAACUUUCCAGAAAAGUACAGAGCCCUUCAUGUCCUUGCUGUAAUCUAGACUCAAGGCAGACAUCCCCCAUCUUGAAUCACCAACACAGUACGUAGCCAGUACAUAGUGCUGGGAGCCCUGGGUAGAUGCCUGAGAUAUUUGCCUGAUCUGUUUUCAUUCCUCCAAUAAGGAUAAUCACUUACAGUAUGCUUCUUAGUAUCACUUUUGGAGGAUUUCUUACACACACCCUUUAUCCGAGCAUUGAAUUUUUCAUUUUCUUUGAAGGCUCGAACCCAGGGCCUAAUAUACAUUAGGUAGGUACUCUUGGCUACUUCCCAAGCCCUUGAGCAUCGAACUGGUUUCUUCUCAGUAUCUUCAAUUUCCAACCAAUCCUUUCUCUCUUACAAUCUCCUCUCCCCUCAGGUUCCCCCACAAAGCAACAUCCGUUUGUCAGGGAUAGACAACUUACAGCAUGUCUAACAAGCAAGUUGUGUCCCUCAACACAGCUCUCCCACUCAGCUCUGUGGAAAGCCCAGCCAAUCACUCCUUUUCUGUUCAGAACCCUAUGACCAGGCUUCCAGGCUUCCUUCUUUACCCUUCCCUCCUCCUGACCCCAAAUCACACCUCCUAGACUCCUCUGCCCCAAAAGCCCAUGACACCUUGUCAUUUUAACUGCAUUAGCAAUACCUCAACUCUGACGCCACCUCUCAGGCCAGACCUUUCAUCUCAAACCCUGCCCCAUGAUUCUUAAUCUUCAUUGUCAGUUCAAUUGGGUUGAGAAGUGCCUCUGGAACUUAGGGGCUUACCCAUGGAUGUAUCUAUGAAGGUGUUUCCAGAGAGGAUUACCGGGAAGGAGGUGCCGUGAGCGAGAUUUCUCCACUGAAUAGAGGAAAAAGAGAAAGUUGGAUGAGUCUCUGCAUCCUGAGGCACUGACUGGGUGUCUCAGGUCCCCUGCCAGGGCCCCUCCACUGUGACAGACUGUAUCCCUUUUUUUUUUCUUUUUUUCGGAGCUGGGGACCGAACCCAGGGCCUUGUGUUUGCUAGGCAAGCGCUCUACCACUGAGCUAAAUCCCCAACCCCGACUGUAUCCCUUCUUAAACUCUGAGCUAAAACAAAUCCCCACUCCAGUGCUCGGCUCCUGUCGGUUAUGUCGCCAAAAUGGAGAAAACUGAUGAACACAUUCGCUUGCCGCAUAGUAAGAAAAAACAACCAUUCUUCAGUCCAGCUCCCUCAGAAGUGCACAGACAAGUGGUUGUUUGGAAGGCAGUUUUGGGAAGUAAAGUUAAAAUUGGAGUGAAGUAGAUGAGAGGAAAGAGAAAAGAUCCUAAGGAAAAGUUCAUGAUCGUGUACAUGUAGCAGACCUCUAUGGGCCUCUACAGUCCAUCUCUGCUGAGGAACUCCACGCCACUGACUCAACUGUCAGUGGGAAGCCAGGAAACUGAUGGCUUAGGUUGGACAAACAUUGGAAGUGCCUACAGGACAUCAGGGUUUAACACUGAAGUCUGCAUUCUAGAGAACUCAUGAAUCCCGUACAAACCAGGAGAGGCAAGUUUCAUCUUGUUUAUCUCAAGGAGUGUUGGGGAAUAAAUCGUGUCAUCUUACAAAUCAUGUGGAGACUUUACCCUCCAGGGCCUUGGGUGUCACCACACUUGAAGAUGAAGCCAUUAAAGACAUGAUCGUGUUGAAAUAAUGUUAUAGGAGAAUAAUGAGACAAUCUGACUGGCAUCAUCAGAAGGGGAACUUUAGUUACACCAAAAGGACAGUAGAGAUUUGUGUAGGCCACAUGAAGACAAUGACAAGAUGGCCAUCUGCAAGUCACUGAGAGGUAUCAGGAGAGAUUGUGGAUUUACAGGUUUUCUGUGGUUUAAGACACUUUGUCACAAAAUCCUAGUAAAUUAAUGUAACAACGACAAAGGAAAAAAAUCCAAUGAUUUUCUGUGAUAUCAUAUCCCUCAACUCUCCUUUUACUAGCAGAUACAUACGUAAGAAGCUGUGAACUUCCAGGAAAAAAUAUCUGUAGAAAAACAGAAAUAAAAAACAAAACCCGAGAGUUCGGAAAUGUAGUUCAAUGGAAGAGUGAGUGCUUGUCAGCAAAUGCAAGGCCCUGGCUGCGUCACCAGCACGACGGGGAAGAGAAACCAAAGAGAUGACUCCACAAGCUUCAGAUCCAUCAAUUUCUGGAGCACAAAGGUGUUGGUAAAGCAAAUAAAAGAGGUGGGGCUUCCUCGGUGCAGCAGUGGCACCUGAGAACAACCGAGGCCACAUAAGACAACCA